GAGUGGAUCUGAGAACACAAGG
RNAcentral lists this microRNA (22 nucleotides) under Glycine max (soybean). Its description in RNAcentral is "gma-miR398b-5p". Its record names the gene gma-miR398b-5p. Lineage: Eukaryota; Viridiplantae; Streptophyta; Magnoliopsida; Fabales; Fabaceae. The record is from miRBase by way of RNAcentral.